RNAcentral lists this small RNA (1714 nucleotides) under Cryptococcus neoformans H99. RNAcentral's name for it is "Cryptococcus neoformans var. grubii H99 hypothetical RNA". The record is from RNAcentral. Lineage: Eukaryota; Fungi; Basidiomycota; Tremellomycetes; Tremellales; Cryptococcaceae.
CGUUGUCCCACACCAGCUUUCCCCCCACGUACGUCUUCUCCACCAGCCCCCUCAGCCGCUUGCCGAUGUAUGGCGAUACCUUGUUCUUGAACCGUAAUGUCUCCUGUGCAGCGUCAGCCGUCGUGCUUAAGAACAAGUCGUGCUUAAGAAUAAAGACACCGCCCGACUUACAAGUGUAACCUCAAACUCGGCAUUCGGGUCAAACACGACAAAAUCCGCCGCUGCCCCCUGUUGUAUCACACCCUUCUUCCCUUGUAGACCCACUUGCCUCGCUUGCACCGGCCCCAUCCACUCUACGAUCCGCCCCAACUCCACUCUCCCGCCCGCCCCCAACUCCGUCCAGAGCAGCGAGAGACCCAGCCCGAGACCGGAUACGCCCCCCCACGCAGACAUGAAAUCCCCCCUUUUCAGUUCCGGCACACACGGCGAAUGAUCCGAUACGACGUAUUGGAUCGUUCCGUCCAACAACGCAUCCACUAAUUUCAGGCGGUUCGAUUCGUCCCGGAUAGGCGGGCAGCACUUGAAUUGCGUAGCGUUUGGCGGAAUGUCCGUGUCGCGAAGACAGAGGUAGUGGAAACACGUCUCGACUGUCAGGUUCUUUAAUGGUGAUGAGACGCUUGACGGUUCCCCGUUUAAUGCCUUUUCGGCGUCGUCGCCCGACAACGCGUCGUCACCCGAAAAGGCAGAUUGCAGUAGAGGCACGGCAUCGGAAGCGGACAGGUGGACGAUAUGGAACCGCAAGUCGGGGUACGACCUCGCGAUGCGCAGGAUGAGUUGGAGAGCAGAGAUUUCCCAUUGUUGAGGUCGGGAUUCGAGGAAUGUAGAGUAUUCUGAUGGGUCAGUGGUGUUGUGUGGGUCAGCGUGGGCGUGCGCGUGCGCCUGCGCGUCGAGUUCGGCGUGGAACAUGAUCAGGGCGUUGGUACCCUAAACACAAUAGGGUUAGUACUUUUGAGAGCGAAAAAAACAUCUCGACACACUUUCAACGCGUCACACGCUUUGAUAAUAUCUUGUUCCCCAACACAUGGAAACUCCUACAAGCCCACACAUUAUUCUCAGUCUUUUCAUCUCUACAACGGAAAACUCACGUCGACACCGGAUUCGAUCAAGAAACAUUUAAACCCCUUCACACCCGCCUCCCAAAGCCCCCGCAACUCUUCCUCAUUCCCCGGCACGAGCCCACCCCAAAACCCCAAAUCGCAGCUCACCCCGACCUCUUUGGCGCACGCCCUUUUCGUAGCGAGCCCGGAGAGGGUGGUGGUAGGUGGGAUAGAGUUGAGAGGCAUGUCGAUCAGGGUGGUGAUACCGCCCGAUAUGGCGGCGAGUGUGCCGGUACGGAAACCUUCCCAGGCGGUACGACCCGGUUGGUUCAGGUGGACGUGGGUGCUUAAAGAUAAGUUUAAGUGUGCGCGCUGGGGCGGUGGGUAGGAGAUAAAAAUGGGACAUACUCGAUAAGACCGGGAAGCAAGAUUUUCCCUUGUUCAAUCUCCCAUACAUUGGCGUUUUCAUCGAGUUUGUGAAUACCAGGAGUGACGGAAGUGAUCAUCCCGGAAUCGGUAUCGAAUAUGAUAGUGGCGGGUUGAGGGCGGAGGUCGCCAGGGAGGAUGGCUUGCGGUGCGAGGAUGGUUUGUGAGGGCAUUGUUUGUAUGCAGAAAAAAAAGGUUGGAUGUGUAGAUGUAGAGUAAAAAAUAGAAAAUGGAAAAUGGAAAAACGUGAA